RNAcentral lists this ribosomal RNA (537 nucleotides) under Octolasion cyaneum. RNAcentral's name for it is "partial 16S ribosomal RNA". Lineage: Eukaryota; Metazoa; Annelida; Clitellata; Crassiclitellata; Lumbricidae. The record is from RNAcentral.
AUUUCCAUUCACUCUUACAAUAGACUACUAAUCAAAACACUAUAACACAAAUUUUUCUCAACUUAUAAAAUUUAAAGUACUAAAAAGGAAACACCAAUAAUUUAUAGUAGUGAAUAACUCACGUACCUUGUGCAUUAUGGUUUUACAAGCACACAAUUAAAUAUACUUUCCCGAAUUCUAUGCGAGCUGCUCCCUUAUAGCUAAGAGCCCACUACUAGUUGUAGCACUAACUUUAGAAAAUAAGGUAGCAGGGGCUACAUACCACACGCGCUAGAAAAUUGCUGGUUAUUAGUAAAAUUUAUACAUUAAAACAUAUAAUUCUAUUAUAGUGUAAGAUCUUAGAGGAUAAGCCCUAAGAUCUCAAGCCAAUAAUAAACAUAAAGAACCUCAUAGGCCUAAAAACAGCCAUCUUCAAUACUUUACCGUAAUGAUCACAUAAUAUAUAAGUGACCUGCCUCAAAAAACUAAUAUUUAAGAAAAACAGAAGUCUUAAUUUAUAUGUAAAAAUAAGUAUUAACCAACUAACUCUACUUCCAC